AUGCACGCUGCCAGAAUGCUUAACACAUGCAAGUCUUUGGCGAAGCUGUGCUUGCACAGCCUAGCCAAGGCGGACGGGUGAGUAACGCGUAAGGAACUUGCCCUGCAGUCAGGGAUAACAGACGGAAACGACUGAUAAGACCUGGUAAAGUCAGGCGGACUCAUGUCCAGCCUGAUGAAAAGAGAUGCUGCAGGAGAGCCUUGCGUCCUAUUAGCUUGUUGGUGGGGUAACGGCCCACCAAGGCGAUGAUAGGUAGCCGGCCUGAGAGGGUGGACGGCCACAAGGGGACUGAGAUACGGCCCUUACUCCUACGGGAGGCAGCAGUGGGGAAUAUUGGACAAUGGGGGCAACCCUGAUCCAGCAAUUCUGUGUGCACGAUGAAGGUUUUCGGAUUGUAAAGUGCUUUCAGCAGGGAAGAAAAAAAUGACGGUACCUGCAGAAGAAGCGACGGCUAAAUACGUG
This 462-nucleotide ribosomal RNA is filed under the name uncultured bacterium. RNAcentral describes it as "partial 16S ribosomal RNA". It matches the Rfam family "Bacterial small subunit ribosomal RNA", at positions 29 to 507 of the family's 1533-position model. The record is from RNAcentral.